CCUACGGGAGGCAGCAGUGAGGAAUAUUGGUCAAUGGACGAGAGUCUGAACCAGCCAAGUAGCGUGAAGGAUGACUGCCCUAUGGGUUGUAAACUUCUUUUAUAUGGGAAUAAAAUGUUCCACGUGUGGGAUUUUGUAUGUACCAUAUGAAUAAGGAUCGGCUAACUACGUGCCAGCAGCCGCGGUAAUACGGAGGAUCCGAGCGUUAUCCGGAUUUAUUGGGUUUAAAGGGAGCGUAGGUGGAUUGUUAAGUCAGUUGUGAAAGUUUGCGGCUCAACCGUAAAAUUGCAGUUGAAACUGGCAGUCUUGAGUACAGUAGAGGUGGGCGGAAUUCGUGGUGUAGCGGUGAAAUGCUUAGAUAUCACGAAGAACUCCGAUUGCGAAGGCAGUUCACUGGACUGCAACUGACACUGAGGCUCGAAAGUGUGGGUAUCAAACAGGAUUAGAUACCCGAGUAGUC
This 460-nucleotide ribosomal RNA is filed under the name uncultured bacterium. RNAcentral's name for it is "partial 16S ribosomal RNA". It matches the Rfam family "Bacterial small subunit ribosomal RNA", at positions 338 to 795 of the family's 1533-position model. The record is from RNAcentral.